UUGUGGUGUUUUUGAACUCGAGUUUUUUGUUUAUUCAACUUCAGUUUUUGGCGUGUUUGGACUUGAGUUUGUGUUUUUUUUUAACUUGAGGUUGUGGUUUUUUGAACUUCAGUUUGUGAAAAUUGUUAAACCUGAGGAUUGGGUGGUGGUUGAACUUAAAACUUUGCCAUUUGUUGAACUUUAGUUUGUGGUGUUUGUUGAACUCCAGCUUGUGUCGUGUUUGAACUUGAGGCUGUGGUAUUUUUGAACUUGAGUUUGUGUGUUUUUUGAACUUGAGUUUGUGGCGUGUUUGAACUUGAGAUUGUGGCGUGUUUGAACUUGAGUUUGUGUGUUUUUUGAACUUGAGUUUGUGGUGUGUUUGAACUUGGUUGGUUGAACUUAAAAUCUUUUACGUAUGUUGAACUUGAGUUUUUGGUGUUCGUUAAACUUGAGUUUGUUCCGUGUUUGAACUUGAGUUUGUGGUGUUUUUGAACUUGAGGUUGUUGCAAUUGUGAAACUUGAGAUUUGGGUCUUGGUUAAACUUAAAAUUUUGACAUUUGUUGAACUUGAGUUUGUGGUGUUUUUGAACUUGAGGUUGUGGUGUUUUUGAACUUGAGUUUUUGGCGUGUUUGAACUUGAGGUUGUUGCAAUUGUUAAAUUGAGAUUCGGGUGUUGGUUGAACUUCAACUUUGAGGUUUGUUGAACUUGAGUCUGUGCUGUUUGUUGAACUUUGGUUUGUGUCGUUUUUGAACUCGAGUUUGUGGUGUUUUUGAACUUGAGUUUGUGGUGUUUGUUUAACUUAAGUUUGUGUCGUGUUUUAACUAGAGGUUGUGGUGUUUUUUUUAACUUGAGGUUGUGGAAAUUGUUAAACUUGAGAAUCGGGUGUUGGUUCAACUUGGGUUUCUGUUGUUUUUGAACUUGAGGUUGUGGAAAUUGUUAAACUUCAGAAUCAGGUGUUGGUUGAACUUGAGUUUGUGUGUUUGUUGAACUUGAGUUUUUGUCGUGGUUGAACUUCAGUUUGUGGUGUUUUUGAACUUGAGUUUGUGUGUUUGUUGAUCUUGAGUUUGUGGUGUUUUUGAACUUGAGUUUGUUUUUUUGAACUUGAGAUUGUGGAAAUUGUUAAACUUGAGAUUUGGGUGUUGGUUGAACUUAAAAGUUUGACAUUUGUUGAACUUGAGUUUGUGUCUUGUUUGAACUUAAAGGUUGUGGUGUUUUUGAACUUGAAGUUGCUUGUUUGUUUAACUUGAGUUUGUGUGUUUUUUGAACCUGAGUUUAAUGUUUCUGAACUUGAGGUUGUGGCAAUUGUUGAACUUGAGUCUGUGGUUUUUAGUGAACUUUAGUUGGUUGCAAUUGUUGAACAUGAGUUUGUGCAGUUUUUAUGAACUUGAGUUUGAUGAAGUUUAUCCCAAUCUGACCUCUCCAACCAUAUCCUGCUUUCUUGCCUCAAGUAACCUCCAAACAUCCAAAACAUAUCUGUUAUUUUUCCCCCACAUGUUUGAACUUGAGUUUGUGGUCUUUUUGAACUUGAGUUUGUGGUGUUAUUGAACUUGAGGUUAUGGAAAUUGUGAAACCUAAGAAUUGGGUAUUAGUUGAACUUGAGUUUGUGGUGUUUUUGAACUUGAGGUUAUGGAAAUUGUUAAACCUCAGAAUUGGGUAUUGGUUCAACUUGAGUUUGUGUAGUGUUUGAACUUCAGUUUGUGGUGUUUUUUGAGCUUGAGGUUGUGGUUUUUGUUGAACUUGAUAUUGUGUCGUGUUUGAACUUGAGGUUGUGGUGUUUUUGAACUUGAGUUUUUUUGUUUAUUCAACUUCAGUUUUUGGCGUGUUUGAACUUGAGUUUGUGGUUUUUUUAACUUGAGGUUGUGGUUUUUUGAACUUCAGUUUUUGGAAAUUGUUAAACUUGAGGAUUGGGUGUUGGUUGAACUUGAGUUUGUGUGUUUGUUGAACUUUAGUUUGUGGUGUGUUUGAACUUGGUUGGUUGAACUUAAAUUUUUUUACAUAUGUUGAACUUGAGUUUUUGGUGUUCGUCAAACUUGAGUUUGUUUCGUGUUUGAACUUGAGUUUGUGGUGUUUUUGAACUUGAGUUUGUUUGUUUGUUGAUCUUGAGUUUGUGGUGUUUUUGAACUUGAGUUUGUUUUUUUGAACUUGAGAUUGUGGAAAUUGUUAAACUUGAGAUUUGGGUGUUGGUUGAACUUAAAAAUUUGACAUUUGUUGAACUUGAGUUUGUGGUUUUUGUUGAACUUGAUAUUGUGUCGUGUUUGAACUUGAGGUUGUGGUGUUUUUGAACUCGAGUUUUUUGUUUAUUCAACUUCAGUUUUUGGCGUGUUUGGACUUGAGUUUGUGUUUUUUUUAACUUGAGGUUGUGGUUUUUUGAACUUCAGUUUGUGAAAAUUGUUAAACCUGAGGAUUGGGUGGUGGUUGAACUUAAAACUUUGCCAUUUGUUGAACUUUAGUUUGUGGUGUUUGUUGAACUCCAGCUUGUGUCGUGUUUGAACUUGAGGCUGUGGUAUUUUUGAACUUGAGUUUGUGUGUUUUUUGAACUUGAGUUUGUGGCGUGUUUGAACUUGAGAUUGUGGCGUGUUUGAACUUGAGUUUGUGUGUUUGUUGAACUUGAGUUUGUGGUGUGUUUGAACUUGGUUGGUUGAACUUAAAAUCUUUUACGUAUGUUGAACUUGAGUUUUUGGUGUUCGUUAAACUUGAGUUUGUUCCGUGUUUGAACUUGAGUUUGUGGUGUUUUUGAACUUGAGGUUGUUGCAAUUGUGAAACUUGAGAUUUGGGUCUUGGUUAAACUUAAAAUUUUGACAUUUGUUGAACUUGAGUUUGUGGUGUUUUUGAACUUGAGGUUGUGGUGUUUUUGAACUUGAGUUUUUGGCGUGUUUGAACUUGAGGUUGUUGCAAUUGUUAAAUUGAGAUUCGGGUGUUGGUUGAACUUCAACUUUGAGGUUUGUUGAACUUGAGUCUGUGCUGUUUGUUGAACUUUAGUUUGUGUCGUUUUUGAACU
Molecule: long non-coding RNA, 2977 nt
Filed under: Xyrichtys novacula (pearly razorfish)
Lineage: Eukaryota; Metazoa; Chordata; Actinopteri; Labriformes; Labridae
Source: RNAcentral